UACGUAGGGUCCGAGCGUUGUCCGGAGUUACUGGGCGUAAAGCGCGCGCAGGCGGCCCGGCAAGCAUGGCGUGAAAGCCCCCGGCUCAACCGGGGAGGGUCGUCGUGGACUGCUGGGCUUGAGGGCGGUAGGGGUUGGUGGAAUGCCCGGUGUAGUGGUGAAAUGCGUAGAGAUCGGGCGGAACACCCGUGGCGAAGGCGGCCAACUGGGCCGACCCUGACGCUGAGGCGCGAAGGCGUGGGGAGCGAACGGGAUUAGAUACCCCGGUAGUCCACGCAGUAAACGAUGCCGACUAGGCGUGGGGGGACUUGACCCCCUCCGUGCCGGAGCUAACGCGGUAAGUCGGCCGCCUGGGGAGUACGGCCGCAAGGCUAAA
RNAcentral lists this ribosomal RNA (376 nucleotides) under uncultured bacterium. RNAcentral's name for it is "bacterial SSU rRNA". It matches the Rfam family "Bacterial small subunit ribosomal RNA", at positions 524 to 898 of the family's 1533-position model. The record is from RNAcentral.